Molecule: ribosomal RNA, 208 nt
Filed under: Triticum aestivum (bread wheat)
Lineage: Eukaryota; Viridiplantae; Streptophyta; Magnoliopsida; Poales; Poaceae
Description: rRNA LSU_rRNA_eukarya
Rfam family: Eukaryotic large subunit ribosomal RNA
Source: Rfam by way of RNAcentral
AAGCCGGGUUACGGUGCCCAACUGCGCGCUAACCUAGAACCCACAAAGGGUGUUGGUCGAUUAAGACAGCAGGACGGUGGUCAUGGAAGUCGAAAUCCGCUAAGGAGUGUGUAACAACUCACCUGCCGAAUCAACUAGCCCCGAAAAUGGAUGGCGCUGAAGCGCGCGACCCACACCCGGGCAUCUGGGCGAGCGCCAUGCCCCGAUG